CGCACCUGGCCGAGGCGGCUGAUCCGCUGGCGAACCCAGAUGUUGGACGCCAAGCUGCGUGCGCCGCGCCCCCUUCCUUGAAAUCCAGCCCUCGGCGCGUCCUUUCCUUCCGCGCAUGCGCGUGGCCAUUCCCGCGCAGGCGAUAUGGGGGUGGUUCCCUCGCGCAAAACUCAGGCUGGUCUCCCACCGUCUGCGGUGAUGGCUCUUCUGCCCCGGUUUGUCUUCACAGAUCCCAACAUUUCGAUGGAUUUUUGAAAUGUUCACACAGGGGCCUUCACCCUACUCUGACUACACUCACGGUCCCAGUUUCAAGAUCUUACUGGCUUCCCCAGUAUCUUUGAAGUUCUUGGAGAGCUGGCGUGAUGUCCUACUGGCCUGUAUGGGGACAGCAUGGUUGUUUCUCCUCAGGAAGCCUUUAGAGUUAGAACUUGAACUUUAAGAAAUUCUCUUCCUUGGCCAUGGGCCACUACUGUUUAAAGAUGGAGACCACUUAAGGUGAGAAGAAUAGUAUCUGGUCACUUGUCAGAUCUGGCCAAAACAAAGCAGGAGUGAGCUGCUGCUGUUGCAUUCGGUGACAUUUACCCCAGCACUCUUCGGCCAGUCAUCUGAGCCCAAAGGAGCUCCUGCUUUCCUGAGAAGAAACUGGUAGAGGCUGGCAGAGCAAGUGAGAGCUGAUUGGGCAACCAAGUAGUUGUGAAUUUUUUUGAUUCUGGAGAAACAAGAGUGUUUAAACAAUAGCAUCUUAUUGAAGGCGCAACUGUUCAGAAUCUGGGAAGAAUGUUCAGAUGACUGUAUCACAUUGACUACAACACUGGUCAUUUUCUGAUUUGUUCUUCAGAUCUGAAGAAAGAGCCAGAAAUUUGGGGCACAGCCUGUUCCAUUCACCAGCAGGGCUAUUAUGGAAAAUAAUACUUGUAAUGCAAAGUUGGCCUAUCCAAGAUGGUAUUAUUUAGCCCUAUCUGUGGUGGUAUAAUUAUGGCUAAGUUACCUGCAUAAUUUGUUACUGUUUUAUUUUCUCUUUGCUGUUUAUAAAAUAUGUACUAGGUUAUGAUAUUUUGGAUUUAAGGAUGUGCCAAAGGUCAGAAGGAAGCUGUGUUUAGGGAAAUCAUAUCAUUGGCUAACUAUAACAUUCUUUGUGUUUCUCAAUGAUAAUACAAAGUUCCAGUCAUUUUAUUUGGAAGAUGAGAUUUGUAACUCAUUUUCAACCAAUAUUUGUUUUUUUUCCUUAAAAGAUAGUGUUCAGUACCAAUGAGUUCAAAAUCUGAGUUUUGUCUAUAAACACAAUUCUUUCCUUUUCACUGAUGAAUUCAACAAUCAUCUUAGAAACAUCUAAAAAUCAUUGUAAACUUACUAUGUUGUGCAAUAAAUUGGCUCAAUGGACCCAGUAAAUUAUCCCAAAAUAAUUGAACUGAGGUCUUUUAAAAGUAAUGUUUAAUUUUUAAAUUAAUUUUAGAUUUACAGAAAAGUUGCAAAGUACAAAGAGUUCCUGUAUACUCUUCACCCAGUGUCCCCUACUCCUAUCUAAUAUCUCCUAUAACCAAGAUACUUUUGUCAAAACAAAGAAAUUAACGGUGGUUUAGUACUAUUAACUAAGGUACAGAAUUUUUCAAACUUCACAAAUAUCUUUUCAUUGCUUCAGGAUCCAGUCCAGAACCCCAUAUUUAAUCUAAUGAGAUCUCUUUUGGAGGGGUGGUCAAGAGUAGAGGGAAAUGAAUAAGACAAAGUUGUUUUCCAUUCUGUUAAAAACUGAACAAAAUGCACAAGAUUCAGUAGGGCAAAUUACUUUGACCCCAGUUGCCCCUGCUCUGUGGUGCCAUCUGUUUAUCAGCACUUGCCCUACCUUGGCUGCAUAGGUCUUAGUGUCCCAAGCUGUGACGGUGACCUAUGAUGACAUUAAUUGAUUCAAGUACAUGCCUAAAGCUUGGUGUAUGCUCUCAGAGUCCUGAGCCCUUCCGCCCCUUGCACUGACUGGAGUCCUCUCAUUGCUCUGCAGUCCCUUAGCAGCACUGGUUACAGUCAGUGGUUAAUAGCAGAACUAUGUUGUCAGACCUCCUGGAUUGAAACCCUGCCUUUACUUGGUGACCUUAAUCUUCCGGAGUUUCCAUUUUGUCUUUCCCAUUUGCAGAGAGGAAAUAAGAAUUGUGGUAUGAGGUUUAAAUUUUAUAAUCUUCAUGGAUCAUAUAGAAUGUCUGAUACAGGGUAAAUACUUAGUAAAUGUUACCUGUGUUAAAAAGAAAGCCACAGGCUCAACAUGGAUUCACUUCUGCUAGGCCAGGUUGCCAACCAGGCCUUAAUACCUAAACUAACCACAGUUUCAACCUCCCCCAGAAGUGUACUCAAUUAGGAAUUCUGUGGUCAGCAUCAGUAAGAUAAUCAGGGACAUGAUAAGGAUGUUUAUCCUUCCCCUUAAUUCCCUUUGGCACCAGGAUGUAUAUCAAUCCCACCCCCUUUUUUUUAGCAUCAUGUAGCUUACAUAUGUGAGAUGUACCCCUUUGAAGUCCAGUCUUUCCUGCCUGCUUCCUCAAGAUAUAAAACCUUUAUAGGAUUGUAGCCCCUUGGAACUCAACUCCUUGGUUGGUCCUCAGUUUAGCUCAAAUAAAACUGUCUUUAUUUCACUAAAUAAGUCACUCAAGGUGACUUUAGUGAUCUUUUUGUUGAUACCUGUUUUUAUCAGUGGUAAUAAACACUGUGGAUAAGUAUCCCAGUUGGGUGAUGAAGAAGCAAGAAGACAAUGCUAGAGCAGAAUUCACUUAAGGAAAUAAAACUUUUCUUUACUUGCUAGAAUAGAAUUAGAGUUCUAAGGAAGAAUAUUCCAUUGAUAAAAGGAAAGAAAUAAGAAACUUGGAAAUGGAUUUCUAGAAAGCUAAGAAAAUGCAAAUUUUCACUGCCACAAAUCAUGUGGGGGCAAAGAUCAUGUUAAUCCUCUCUGUAUGGGUUCAAUUUUAAUCUGUGGCUAAGUGAGCACAUUUCUCAUCACCAUUUUAAGCUCAGGUCACAUUUAAGCAAUGACUAAAGCGGGAAAAAUGUAGAAGUUAAUUGUAUAAUAAUCACCACAAGUACUGUAAUUAUGCUUCUGAAGAAAAAAGCUUAUUGUAUAAUAACUUUUAUAAUAACAUAACUUGGAGUUUUUAUAGAGUUUUGCAUUUUUCAGACCUCUCACAGUCAUUUUUUCACUUGACCCAGGAGUUAAGGGAGUGUGUAGGAAUUAUGAACCAUAUUUUGCUGAGAGGGAAGCUCAGAGGGAAGAAAGCAUAUCAGAAAAGGCCUCAUAAGGACGGGUAAGAUUCCUCAAGGGAGGAACAACCUAAGACAGGCACAGUCGCAGGGGGCCAUCUGGUGAGAAAAUGGGGAGCAGCAGAGGUGAGGCUUAGAACCUCCCCCCUCAUGUUCUGAGAGAAAUCUUUGGCAUACAUGGAUGUUUAUUGCCCUCAUCUAGCUCGGAUUAACACAUAAUCUACAGGCACACACCUGAUCAUCUACAUUUGCUCUCUUACAACACUAAACUCUGUUUUCUACCUUUAUCUUGUAUCUACCUACCACUUCAGCAUUUUAUUAAAAAUAAUAAUAAUAGAGAAAUUUGGUAUCCACAUAUAAAUCAAGUUUAAAAAUCAAAUGAAUAUUCAUAUUUGAACUGACUGUGUAUAGUUCAUAAUGCAUGAACAAAACCGAAAGCUUCUGUGAUGACUGCCCUUGCACUGUUCACCAUGUAACUUAUUCACUAUGUAAGAAUUUGUACUCCAUGUAAGAAUUUGUUCAUUAUGCAUCAGAAGAUUGGAGACUGACGAAAAUUAGGCUUGGGGUGGAUUAAUGAUUGUGCAUUGAGUAUUGACCCCCCUAUACAGAAAUUUAUUGUGGUUAACAACUAUUUGAUCAAUAAAUAUGAGAGAUGCCCUCAC
This is a long non-coding RNA of Manis pentadactyla (Chinese pangolin), 3896 nucleotides long. RefSeq lists it as uncharacterized. The transcript has 3 exons. The record is from RefSeq and is a predicted model, not a curated record. Lineage: Eukaryota; Metazoa; Chordata; Mammalia; Pholidota; Manidae.